GAUCUUGUCUUCAUUUCUUUUUUAAGAUCUGAUGAUUUCUGAAGCAGACGGAGCAAAGUAAGCACCGAAGCAGGCGGAGCAAAGAGACGGAAUAUAUGAAUGACCUAUUUCAACACCUUGAGGAAGAGAACAACUUGGAGUGUAUGUCGGAGGUAGAUCGUUAUUUUUUGGAUGGGUGUGAAGCAACAUCAAAAGAUUUUGACAUCUUACUUUGGUGGUAGGUUAAUGCACCCAAAUAUCCUAUCCUCGCAGAGAUAGCCCGUGAUAUAUUGGCCAUUCCUAUUUCCACAGUUGCAUCCGAGUCUGCAUUCAGCAAUGGAGGACGUAUAUUAGAUCCUUUUAGGAGUUCAUUAUCUCCAAUGACAGUUGAGGCCUUGAUUUGCACUCAAGACUGGUUAAAGGGCAAUCAAGACUUGGAGUAUGAGAAGAUUAUUGAAAUCUUUGAUGAGCAUGUUAUUGAUGAUUGAGAGGAGAGCUACAAAAAGCCACAGACCAUGCUUGGAUAUGUUUAAUGUUUAUGAACUUUUGGGUUUGAACUUUUUUAAUUCUUAAUAUGUUUAAUGUUUAUGAACUUUUGAUUGCUGGUUUGUUUAAAAAAGGUAGUUGAUCUUUGUAAUUUUCAGACAUUAUGGAGACUGUUUGAUGGCUUAAUGUCUUUGUGAUAGGUUGUGCUUUAUUGUCAAGAGAGGCUUAAUGUCUACUCCUUGUAAUGUUUAUUUAUUAUUUAGAUAGCUGCUGUUUUGGAUUUUUCUUGCUUUGGUUGGUGAAGAUUUUU
This is a long non-coding RNA of Alnus glutinosa, 775 nucleotides long. RefSeq lists it as uncharacterized. The transcript has 4 exons. NCBI's taxonomy places the organism in Eukaryota, Viridiplantae, Streptophyta, Magnoliopsida, Fagales, Betulaceae. The record is from RefSeq and is a predicted model, not a curated record.